AAAGAAAGGCUUCUGUUGUGCUGUCGUUCCUCUGUUUCUGUGUCUUCAGACGCAAGUACUGCUUCUUUACACAGAUUCUCUUUACUUUUCUGCGGGGUUUCCUUUUGCAUGUAGUCCUGGGUAUCCUGUAACUCCCCCAAAAGCCAGUGCUUUAGGAGCAGAGGAGAGGUUAGGCAGCAUUUUACCAAGCAAAAACCCUCAUGACUCAAAGCUUUGUAUAGACAGGUAAUUGUCAAAUGUAGCAAAUUGGCUGUAAAUUAACAACACGGGAGGAAACAAUGUAGCCAUGUGCUUAGGUUGAUACUUCACUUCAUACCCAAGUGCUCUUUGAAGCUGGAACUUCACACGGCAGGAAAAAAAAAGCUUUACAGAUUGGUUUAUUCCAGAGAGUAUGUGCUGUGUUUUGGCACAAGAUGUGUUUAGGGGGUGUGUACAUGAAGCUUUUGAAAGAACUUUCUUGACAUUUUGAAGUGACAGCCGCAUGCAGCUAAUGCUGUCUGGUUUGAGUUGCAGCUAAAUAAACGGUUGUUUCAGAUAGAGUGUAUGUUUUAGCAUAGUGUUACUCGAUACUCACUAGAGUAAUCUUUUCAAACUGAAUAAUCUUACAAUUCUGGAGGACAGCAAUAUAUCAUAUUAGGUAGCUUGCAAUUCAAGAUUAAAAGAAAAAAGUUCUGUAAAAAGGAAUGAAUUUACAAAAGCCGCACUGAAUGCGUAUAAGUAUAUGCACAUGAGAAUUUUAUUGUCCAUACCAGAAAACUGUAUGUAUCAGGUUACUGUACCAUAUAUUUUUCUCAUUCUUGGACUGCUCCUUGCAUGAAAUGCCUCAUUCUGCUCUCCUCUGUAGUUGUUCCUUUCUUACUCACUAACGGGAGUUGCUCUCUUCUGACAAAAAGUGCUUAUCCAUAUUAUAUGUCUUUUUAAAUGUGUCCAUUUAGAUUAAUGUUUAACAGAGCAAAGAUGUGUAUAUGAUAUGAUGUAUCUGCUUAUGACUAAUCGUUAUUUGAUGUGAUCUAGCCUUUUUGUACUUAAUUUUUUGGUACCUUUUAUCCAGCAGGUAUUUUUUAGAUGACACUGUAAGAGUUGAUUUACCCUUGAAAGUAGACUAUUUCUUCCGGAGUACUUCUGGGUUUAUCAGUUAGAAGUAUCCUUUUACCAGCACAACUAAUGGUGCACUUACAGUGUGGAAGGAUGUCUCAUCCCAAACUAGAUAUCCCCAUUCCUAUACCAGUAUAAGGUAUAGUUACACUAGUCCGUUUGCACCUGCUUGUACAAUAUAUUUUUUAAAGGCUUUGGGGUGGUUACCUUAACCUACUGGGAUUUUUUUUCCAGCUGACUUCAUUUAUCUAGAAGUUAGGUGUCCAGUCGGAGCUGCUUGUCUUGGCUCCCUCUCAGUCAAUGGUCCUGACACUGCAAUGUGUCCUCUCCUAGCGAUCCUGUCCCUCUGUUAACUCCACCUUUGACUGGAUACCCACCUCUCUACAACUACCUGAAAGGAGGUUGUAGUGAGGUGGGGGUCAGUCUCUUGUCCCAAGUAACAAGCGAUAGGACAAGAGGACACAGCCUCAGGUUACACUAGCUGACGUUUGGUGGAAGAACUCUGCCACCCCAUCAGCAGGAGCUGAUCUCUGAACAUUCUCUGGUGCCUUGGAAAUUUCUUUCCCUGGGUCUGAAAGGUUUUUAUGGGUGGUGAGAUGUUCCAGUGCUUGGAUCAAUGUGUUUCAUUUAAUGUUGGGAAGGAGGGGAUUUUUUUGUUGUUGUUUGGUUGGGUUUUUAAGUCAGCAUAGCAGAUCCAGAUAACGUGUAUCUACGUAUAUAAACACGUUCAACACUGUAUGUGCGCAAAGCAAAUGUAACUGUCCCAGGGCAGAAAAAGACUGGGAUGAGCUGCCACAGAGGGGGAAAGGGGAAGCUUUGGCUGAGGAGUUGUUCAAACUGGAUUGAUAUCAGAAGUGCAGUGAAAACCAUGAUACACAUGUGGACCAAAUGCAGCUUCUUUUAGCAAAGAAGCCGACUUCCACAAAAGAAACUGGGAUGUCGGGGAUUUACUUCACCAGCAGUGCUGUGUCAGCUGGAGCUCACCUUAGCCCGAGGUUUAGCAAGAUUUCUGCUAUGGUGUGAACGACACGGAAGAGGAAAAUCUCUCUCCCGUGCUUAGAAGGCGAGGCUGAAGCAGCAUCUGCUGGAACGGCGUGAUCUCACAACGCUAAAGGUUGCGAAUCCUCAGGUGAGGUCCCAAACUCUACGCAGCACAGUGGGGAGCUUUGCUGCUGGCUUUGGUAUCGCUGGGAUUUCACCCCUCGGCCAGAGAACUGAAGCAUGCUUUUAAUUUCCUCCUGUGCUCAGGUCUGUCCCUGUUCAGCAGAGCGCUAAAUCCUCUGCCUGAGCGCUCGCAGUCCUCUGCCAGGACAAUGUGAAAGUUGUCAUGAGCUGUGUUUCGGGGAUUGCAUGAGCCAGGUUAGGGGAAUAAAUAUAAAAAUUAAAAAAAAAAAUUUAUGUACGUAUGUAAAUAUAAAAGCAUCCUGGGAUUUCUGGACUGAGAUCAGAUGUGAUGCACUUUGGGUGAUGACAUCCUGCCAGUAACCCAGUGGACAAACCUGUGUAACGAUGCUUUUCCUUCACUGCAGACCUGCUGUCUGUCCCCUGCAACGGGAUUCCUUUAUAAAAGCCUGUUAAAAAUAACUCUGCUCUCCAGGAUAUUUAAUUUGCUCUGUUUUUGGUUAGCCACUGCUGAACCUUAUAAAGGAGAGAGGUUUUUAACUUGCAGCCUGGUGUGUAUCCAGAGUUCAGAAAUCUCCGCAGAAGAUUAAGCAAGUUAGAGAAAUUAGCUUUGAUCCCUUUCUGCCAGCAUAGGAUUAUUCCGCAUCAUACUGGUUUUGAAGUUCAUGUCUAAUCCAGUUUUACACGUCUCAGGGGACUGGGGUUCUUACGACUUCUUCUGCGAAACGGUUGUGUGGUGUAGCCUCUGAUUUAGAGGUACUUACUUGAUGCCGAGAUUCAAUUUGCAUUUCCAUUACUGCAUCCCAUUUCAUCCUGUGCCGUAUACAUAAUGUCGCUACUUUGUGGUAUAUGGCUUUCAAAGGCAUAUGGAUCAUUAUCGUGCUCAUGCUAUUUUAUAUGCUCACUACACACUUAGUCGAACUAUAUGUAUUUGAACCCCAUUCUUGCAAACAACUGUGCGUGACUUGUGUGUAGGUGUUCGAACUGCCAAACAUAUUUACAUACAAAAGGGCUUGUAAUGCCCAGCAUGGAUCGUAGUGCAUGAAAACAACUGGUGCGAGAUGAUUAAAAGAGCCAUGUGUGCAGAAACAUUGCUAAUCAAGGCAAAGAGGAGGGUCAUGUUACUGUUUUCUGGCAAAGUGGAAGGUUUAAAUGGUCAGUCCUGAGGUUUUUUUAAAUGCACUGCGUUUCAUGCAUGAUGAGUUUGUAAAACCGUAAGUUUUCUUUCUAAUAAAUGUGUAUUUUCAGGCUUAAAAAA
Harpia harpyja (harpy eagle) is the source of this 3475-nucleotide long non-coding RNA. RefSeq lists it as uncharacterized. The transcript is spliced from 3 exons. The record is from RefSeq and is a predicted model, not a curated record. NCBI's taxonomy places the organism in Eukaryota, Metazoa, Chordata, Aves, Accipitriformes, Accipitridae.